GAUGAACGCUGGCGGCGUGCCUAAUACAUGCAAGUCGAGCGAACAGACGAGGAGCUUGCUCCUCUGACGUUAGCGGCGGACGGGUGAGUAACACGUGGUUAACCUACCUAUAAGACUGGGAUAACUUCGGGAAACCGGAGCUAAUACCGGAUAAUAUAUUGAACCGCAUGGUUCAAUAGUGAAAGACGGUUUUGCUGUCACUUAUAGAUGGAUCCGCGCCGCAUUAGCUAGUUGGUAAGGUAACGGCUUACCAAGGCAACGAUGCGUAGCCGACCUGAGAGGGUGAUCGGCCACACUGGAACUGAGACACGGUCCAGACUCCUACGGGAGGCAGCAGUAGGGAAUCUUCCGCAAUGGGCGAAAGCCUGACGGAGCAACGCCGCGUGAGUGAUGAAGGUCUUCGGAUCUUAAAACUCUGUUAUUAGGGAAGAACAAAUGUGUAAGUAACUAUGCACGUCUUGACGGUACCUAAUCAGAAAGCCACGGCUAACUACGUG
This 497-nucleotide ribosomal RNA is filed under the name uncultured bacterium. Its description in RNAcentral is "partial 16S ribosomal RNA". It matches the Rfam family "Bacterial small subunit ribosomal RNA", at positions 28 to 507 of the family's 1533-position model. The record is from RNAcentral.